ACCGCUGCCAACCUACCUACCGCUGCCAACCUACCUACCGCUGCCAACCUACCUACCGCUGCCAACCUAUCUAUCGCUGCUAAUCUAUCGCUGCUAAUCUAUCACUGCUAAUCUAUCGCUGCUAAUCUAUCGCUGCCAACCUACCUACCGCUGCCAACCUAUCUACCGCUGCCAACCUAUCUAUCGCUGCUAAUCUAUUGCUGCUAAUCUAUCACUGCUAAUCUAUCGCUGCUAAUCUAUCGCCGCCAACCUACCUACCGCUGCCAACCUACCUACCGCUGCCAACCUAUCUAUCGCUGCCAACCUAUAUAGGGUAAAUCAUGGUCCCAUUUGGUCCCAUUUUGUAAAAUGGGACCAAAUGGGACCAGAAUCACUAAUUUAUUAGUAAAACAUGAUCUGGGACUAGAUUUAUAAUAUAAACAGUGUAAAGUGACUAAUUUGCUAAACACUAUAUGGGACCAGGACUAAGAUAUCUAAUAAUAGAACUGAGGAAAAAUUUGAUCCCAGUCCCAUGCAUGGUCACACAGCC
This 529-nucleotide small RNA is filed under the name Histoplasma capsulatum. Its description in RNAcentral is "hypothetical RNA". Lineage: Eukaryota; Fungi; Ascomycota; Eurotiomycetes; Onygenales; Ajellomycetaceae. RNAcentral also lists the same sequence under 1 other name. The record is from RNAcentral.